GGCAUGGCUGGGGAGGCCUCAGGAAACUUACAAUCAUGGCAGAAGGUGACAGGGAUGCCAGCACGUCUUCACAUGGUGGCAGGUGAGAGACAGAACGAAGGCGGAGGUGCUACACACUUUUAAAAGAAGCAGGUCUCAUGAGAAUUCCAUCACAAGACAGCACUAGAAGGAUGGUGCUAAACCACUAGAAACCACCCUUAUGAUUCACCUUUCACCAGGCCCCACCUCCAACACUCAGUAUCACAAUUCAACAUGAGAUUUGGGUAAGUACACAGAACCAAACCAUAUCAUUUUGCACCUGGCCUUUACCAAAUGUCAUGUCCUUUUCACGUUUCAAAAAACAAUUAUGCCUUCCCAAGAAUCCUCCAAAUUCUUAACUCGUUCCAGAAUUAACUCAAAAGUCCCAGUCCAAAGUCUCAUCUGAGACAAGGCAAGUACUACUCCUCUGCCUAUGAGCCUGUAAAAUAAAGAAACAAGUUAGUUAGUUCCAAGAUACAGUGCAGGUACAGGCAUCGAGUAAAUGCUCCCAUUCCAAAAGGGAGAAAUUGGCCAAAACAAAGGGGCUAUAGGCCUCUUGCAAGCAAAACCCAGGAAGGCAGUCAUUUAAUCUCCAAGCUCCAAAAUACUCUCCUUUGACUCCAUGUCUCACAUCCAAGGCACACUGAUGCAAGGGGUGGGCUCCCAAGGCCUUGGGCAGCUCUGCCUCUGUGGCUUUGCAGGGUACAACCCCCAAAGCUACUUUCAUGGGCUGGGAUUGAGUGCCUGCAGCUUUUUCAGGCGAACAGUGCAUGCUGUCAGUGGAUCUAUCAUCCUGGGGUCUGGAAGAUGGUGGCUCUCUUCUCACAGCUCCAUUAGGCAGUGCCCCAGUGGGAACUUGGUGGGAGCUCCAACCCCACAUUUCACCUUCACACUGCCCUUGUAGAGGUUCUUCAUGAGGGAUCCAGUCCUGCAGCAGACUUCUGCCUGGACAUCCGGGUGUUUCCAUACAUCCUCUGAAAUCUAGGCAGAGGCUCCCAAGUCUCAACUCUUGCCCUUUGCAUACCCACAGGCCCAACACCAUAGGGAAGCCAUCAAGACUUGGGGCUUACACCCUCUGAAGCAAUGACCUGAGCUGUACUGUGGCCCCUUUUAGCCAUGGCUGAAACGGGAGCAGCUGGGAUGCAGGGCACCAUGUCCCAAGGCUGCACAGAGCAGUAAGGCCCUGGACCUGGCCCACGAAACCAUUUCUCCCUCCUAGGCCUCUGGGCCUGUAAUAGGAAGGGCUGCUAUGAAGGUCUCUGAAAUGUCUUAGAGGGAUUUUCCCCAUUGUCUUGGCUAUUAAUAUUUGGCUCCUUUUUACUUAUGUAAAUUUCUGCAGCUGGCUUGAAUUACUUCCCAGAAAAUAGGUUUUUCUUUUCUACUACAUGGCAGGUUGAAAAUUUUCCAAGCUUUUAUACUCUGCUUUCCUUUUAAAUAUAAGUUCCAAUAUCAAACCACCUCUUCGGAAAUGCAUAUGAGCAUAUGCUGUUAGAAGCAGCCAGGUCACUUCUUGAAUGCUUUGCUGCUUUGAAAUUUCUUCCACCAGAUACUCUAAAUAAUCUCUCUCAAGUUCAAAGUUUCACAGAUCCCUAGAGCAGGGGCACAAUGCCACCAGUCUCUUUGCUGAAGCAUAGCAAGAAUGACCUUUACUCCAGUUCCCAAUAAGUUCCUCAUCUCCCUCUAAGACCUCCUUGGCCUGGACUUCAUUGUCCAUAUCUCACUAUCAGUAUUUUGGUCAAAGCCAUUCAACAAGUCUCUAGGAAGUUCCAAACUUUCCCUUAUCUUCUUGUCUUCUUCUGAGCCUUCCAAACUGUUCCAACCUCUGCCCAUCCAAAGCUGCUUCCACAUUUUCAGGUAUCUUUUGUAGCAAUGCCCCACUUCUCUGAUACCAAUUUCCUAUAUUAGUCCAUUCUCACACUGCUAUAAAGAACUAUCUGAGACUGGGUAAUCUAUGAAGAAAAGAGGUUUAAUUGACUCACAAUUCUGCAGGCUGUACAGGAGGCAUGGCUGGGGAGGCCUCAGAAAACUUACAAUCAUGGCAGAAGGUGAAGGGGAAGCCAGCACAUCUUCAUAUGAUGGCAGGAACUUUAUAUGUUAUAGAAGUUAGCCCCAAGAAUGAAAUCGUGUCCUUUGCCAAAACAUGGAUGGAGCUAGAGGCCUUUAUCCUAAGGUGCUCUAUGCUUAGCCCAUCAUAGAUUGUGGCCCUUCAUUCCUGCAUUUGAUGAAUCCAGGGAACCCUCUCUCCAACACCCUUGGCCUCUCUGCAACUUUCUAACAUCAGGCAGAGUCAGAGGCACCAUCCCCAGAAGCUACAAAUCUUCAGCAUUCUCCACUCUGUGAAGUCAGAGGAAUGGCGGGACCAUAGCUCUGAGCUCAUUGGCAAAUACAACUAAUUUCAAUUUCUGGAAUGGAAGCAGUCAGAUAUUCUUCUGACUGCACGCGUAUGUGGGAGUGCCAUGUUGAAGAGUGGAAAAUAUGGAAGAUCAGUCCCUACAAACUUAAUAGGAGAAUGACAUUCAGAUUUCCCGAGUAUUUUGCAUGUCCAACUGAAAACUGAAGUAGGUUUAUGAGAGAAUGCACGCCUACCUGGAUGGGUCUGGGGAGUGUGUCACUGUCACCGCAGAUAAUUGACAAGGGCUGAUCAAAUAGCGAUGCUUUCAAGUCUGUCUCCAAAGCCCCAGAAAAAUCUGAUGCAGGGGAGAGCCUUCUCAUGAGAAAGGGCCAGGACAGCACCUUCUUUCUCUUCUUAACUUCUACAGCCAAGAAAACAAGGCAACGAGAAAAAUUAGACUACAGUGUUAAGAAGCAAAGAUCCAGGUGACUGGUCACCUUGGGUUUUCCAGGUUGCUGCUUUAGGACAGAGGCAAAUACGAAUCGCUGCGGGAAGCCUUGAACCUAGAUCUGGCAACUGGGAAUUAUCAGCAAAACGUUAUCAAGAUAUUCUGUCCUUCUGAAAUCCACAAGAUGUGUGUGCAAUGGAUAUUGCAAUCUCAAACAUUUCCUUCUUUCUUUUCUUUUCCUUCCUUCCUUCCUUCUCCUUUCUUACUAAUUAUAAAGGCUAUAUUUUCUAAAUGCAUUGGCAUCUGUUUCUAUACAUUUCAGAUUGGCAAGUGGAAGCAUGAUGAGAAAGAAGUGGCCUGUCUUUAUGGUUCAGGAGAACUGGGUCAGGGUUACGCUAUAAUGAAAUGCAUUAUGAAAAAAGUUGAGAGUGAAUGGUGGGUCCUUUGGGAUUUGAGAUCAGCAACAGUUGCUUCAUAGGCUCUUGGAUGCAUUCUCCAUAAGAGAAGGAAGAAAAUGGAAAAGACACUGUGUGUUUUUCAAAUGUGUGCAUGCUAAUUGUCGAAACAUACAUGGCCAGGAGAUUGAACCGCAUUAAAAACGCUUGGCAGAACUGGGGAUUCUCUAUGGAGAGGCUCUUUCCUUUCCCAGCACUCCCUGCUCUAGUGAGUUGGAGCAUACCUGCCAUUUAAGGGUUAAUGUUCUGCGGUCUUUAACAGAACAACUUAUACAAAAAAAUUCCUAGUAGAGUAAAAGCGCUGUGGUUUUGCAAACCAAGAGCACUGGUUGUUAGCACUUACAUAAAAGAUCGGUAUGUUUUUAAAACUCACCAAUGAGCUGGCAAAUACUGUCUUCACUCUCACAUGAUGCCAACAGGGGAUGUUCCUUGAUAUCACCCUAAAAACAUUUUUAUUUCAGUUAAAUAUAGUGACUGAAGAAACCUAUCGAGUCUUUCCCCACAAAACACACAUACAGCAUUUUAUUCAUAUUAAAAAUGAAGUCAGUAGAGUGCAUUGAUGUUUUUUCUAGCUUCUAGAAGCAAUAUUAAGGUCUUGAUUGUCAUCAUAUAAGAUCCUAAUUAAUGUGCUUAAUUUACUAC
Homo sapiens (human) is the source of this 3895-nucleotide long non-coding RNA. Ensembl annotates it as TAGAP antisense RNA 1. Its record names the gene TAGAP-AS1. NCBI's taxonomy places the organism in Eukaryota, Metazoa, Chordata, Mammalia, Primates, Hominidae. The record is from Ensembl.